This is a long non-coding RNA of Mytilus trossulus (common blue mussel), 1042 nucleotides long. RefSeq lists it as uncharacterized. The record is from RefSeq and is a predicted model, not a curated record. The transcript is spliced from 3 exons. Lineage: Eukaryota; Metazoa; Mollusca; Bivalvia; Mytilida; Mytilidae.
GUUGCGGCAACUUUUCCAGACGGGGAUAGUCGAAUGACUGUAAGAAAGAAAGCUUAACACCAAGAUCAAGAUAAACAGUCAUAAACGCAUUCACACACAUAUAUCUGCAUUUGAGCUUACUGAUUAUUUUUGUGAAGAAAAACAAAUUACGAACUUAAUCAAAAGUAAUUGAUACAAAGUAAAACUUAUAUAUUACGUUGUUGUAUUAGUGAGAAUACAAGGUGUUUAUCACAAAUGUUAAUUCACCUGAUUGGGUGGAGCUUACGUUUUGAUUAACAUAAGGACAGUCUAAUGAGUGUAUGAUGUGGACAGUUCACUGAUGAGUGUAUAAAACACCUAUAUAUAGAUGAACUAGUCUAUUAUGAGCAAACCGAUAAAACUCUGCCCAGUCAAGUAACAGAAAUCAAGCAGUACUUGCUGCCAUUGCAAGUUUUGCUAUUGCGGCAGUAUAUUAGUGAUAUAACAAGGUGUAUACUUCCUGGUGUUGCAAGUUGUACUAUUGGGAAAUAUGAAUACUUCAUCGAUGUGUAUUAGUCAGAAUACACGAUGUAUACUUGCUGGUGUUGCAAGUCGUUAUAUUGUGGAAGUUUAUAAGUGAAAGUCAACUGUGUUUAAUUUUACCAGUUUGGAAUAUAUUCAUUUGGUUCAGAUUCAAAGUGAUAAACAGUGUAAAGUAAAAUCACAAAACUACUGAGCUCCGAGGAAAACGGAAAGUCCCUAAUUAAAUGACAAAAAAACCCCACAUCAAACGAAUGGACAACAACAACUUAACAAACAGACAUUACAGGAGAUUAUCCGAUUGUGUAGAAUAGUUUCUUCAAAUCAGAAGCAUAUCUUUUGGAUGAACUUUUGUAAACAGGUAUAUUCAAAUAACUGUUAUUAAACAUGCAAAACACCACGAUAAAACACUUAACUGGACAAUUAUUCUUCCUUUGAUAACGGCGCACUUGUAUGUAGUUUAGUUUUGUAAAUAAUAUUUCCUAAAAAUAAUUAAUUGCAAAUAAAAUGUCGUUUUUCAAUUGCAUGGAAAGUUUUCAACUAA